This 2486-nucleotide long non-coding RNA is filed under the name Piliocolobus tephrosceles (Ugandan red Colobus). RNAcentral describes it as "lncRNA (ENSPTEG00000029318.1)". The record is from RNAcentral. Lineage: Eukaryota; Metazoa; Chordata; Mammalia; Primates; Cercopithecidae.
AUGACAAUAAAUUAUAAAAGCAUGGAUUUUUUGAGAUACGACUUGAACUACAAGUUUAACGAGAGCGAGGUUGAAAAAACUUUUAACAAAAACCAAAAGUAUGAAGCAAAAACUGGUUAUACGAUUAGUCACUCUUUGAACAAUAAGAAGUUAGAAAAUUUCAUUGAUGAAGGUACGUCAAAUUAUUUGAAUACAACAAAAACCGAUUUAGAAAAAAAGUUUCCCAAAAAUUAUAAAAAAAAUGAAGAUAGCUUUAAUAUGAGUAAUGAAAUGAUAAAAGACUAUGUCGAUGAAAAAAGAAAUACACUUAGUAUAACAUCUGAUGGUGCAAAGUCAUUAAUGUAUAAAAGUUAUAACAGUAAUAAAAUGAAAAAUAUCGAUAUGCAAGAUAAUAAUUAUGAUUACAAACAGGAUGGGAAAUAUAAUAGGAUAACUAGCUGUAAAAAUGAAGAUUUGAAUAAAAAUAUGGUUGAUAAAAAAUAUAUGAACAACAAUAAAGAAAUGAAUGAUAAAUUAAAAGGAGAUGAUUUAUCUGUAUAUAAUACAAAGAAACAUUAUUUAAUGGAUGAAAGAACCGACAGGAAUUUAAAAAAAAAAAAAAUAAAUGACAUAAUAAAUAAAUAUAAAAAAAACAUAACAACUUUUAUUGGAAAAUAUAACAGUAAUGAAGUAAAUAGUUUAGAGAAUAAUACAAAUGAUUCAAACAAUGUAGAAUAUAGUGAUAAAGGGGAUGAGUGUAAAUAUGAGCAGGCACAGAAUAAAUAUGGGCAGACACAAAAUAAAUAUGGGAAGGAACAGAAUAAAUAUGAGCAGGCACAGAAUAAAUAUGGGAAGGAACAAAAUAAAUAUGGGCAGACACAAAAUAAAUAUGUACAAAACAAACACGACGAUAUGAUUAUUGAGGAAAAAAAACCUAUAGACAGAAACGGGUGUGAGUUAAUUGAAUUAAAUGAGUUUAAAAAUAACAUAAAAAAUAAAUUAAUUUUUGAUUAUGAUAAAAUAAAAAAUAAUUUAAAAAUUGAUUUUAAAAAUUAUAAUGUUAAGGAUACUGAUUUAUAUAUAAAAAGGAAUGUCAGCUUAAAUAAAAACAACAAUACAAAUUUAUUAAAUUAUGAACAUAAAAACAGUAGCAAUAGAAACACUUCCAAUAAUAACAGUGGUAGUGGUAAUAAUAAUAGUAGUGGUAAUAAUAGUAGUAGUGGUAAUAAUAAUAGUAGUGGUAAUAAUAAUAGUAAUGGUAUACUUUUACAUUCUCAAAAAAAUAAUAAAAGCGAUAAGGUUAUAAAUGGUGAGAAUAUGUUAUUAAAUAAGUCUAAAAAAAAUAAUUUAAAAUCUAAAAUGUAUGAUACAACAGAAGAUUUACCAACUUCUUUACUUUCAUUGAACAUUCCAGAAAAACAAAAAAAAAAAAUAACUAUGAUAGAGUAUAAUAUUGAAAAAGAGGAUAAGGGGGAAAUGAAAAAUAUAGAUCUUAAACAAAAUAUGUUUAAUAAUAAUGAUAAUAGUAAUACAGUUUCUAAAUUUGAUUAUUUAUUUAAUGAAAAUAAAUUUUUAUCAGAUGAAUUAAAAAUAAAAGAAAAAUUUGAAAAAAUUAAAUUAUUAAAAAAUGAAAUUCUUUUAAAUGAAGAUUUGUCUGAUACUACCCAAAUAAAGAGGACUGAAGAGAAGCAGGAGAUAAUUCCACCAAAGUCUAUAAAUGUAAGGGAUCUAGGUACUGGUAAUUUACCUAAAAAUGGACACAUACCUAACAAUGGAAACAUACCUGGUGACAACUUAUAUCAUGAAAGUAUUGAUCAAGAAAAUAUUAAUCACGACAACGUAGAUCAUAACCUCCGUGACAACUCCACCUAUGAAAAAAAAAAUGUUGAUAAUAAAAAAGAAUUUAAAAAAGAGUAUAACAAUAAACCAAAUGUAUUGAGCGAUAUACUACCAAAUAACAAACCCAAAACAAUAAAUGCAUUAAAUGAAAAAAAUAAAAUAAACACAUUAUUAGAUAAAGAAAGAAAUAUAAAAGAAAAAAAGAAUCAUUUACAUGAACAUUUUUAUAAUGAAUAUAAAUUAGAUUUAAAAAAAAAAAUAAAUGAUUAUAAAUUAGAAAAAAAUGUUAAUACUUAUUUAUCGAAAUUUGAUGAAUAUAAUAAACAAAGUAAAAGUAAAUUUAUUACACAAGACAAAGAUUUUUUAAAAGAAAAUAAAAAAAAAGAAAAUAAGGUGAUGUAUGACUUAAAUAAAAGUUAUACAUUAGGUAAAGAGUGGAAUAUACAGGAAAAAGGAAAUGAAAAAAAAAAAAAAAAGGAUGAACAGGAAGUAGUACAUGUGAAAAAGGAUGCUAAUGCGUCAAAAGGGGAUGAUCCAUUGAAUGGGGAUGACCUAUCAAAUGGGGAUGACCUAUCAAAUGGGGAUGACCUAUCAAAUGGGGAUGGUUUAUCGAACGGGGAUGGUUUAUCGAACGAGGGUAACACAUCAAACGAGGGUAACACAUCAAA